Gallus gallus (chicken) is the source of this 3626-nucleotide long non-coding RNA. The record is from Ensembl. Lineage: Eukaryota; Metazoa; Chordata; Aves; Galliformes; Phasianidae.
GAUGGAUAUUAUUCAUCCAUCCACAGAGCCAGCCAAGUAAUGAAAACAUUUAUUCACAAAUCAUUUUGGUGAAGGUUGAAAAGUUUGUAGAAUGAAUUAUUCAUGAGUGCGAUUUGACUCCCUAAAAACCCCAAAUGGAUGGCUGACCUUGAAGAGGAGGAUGGUGUCAGUACUGCACCUGUCUUAGGCCUUCCUAGUGCCUAACAUCAACGUGGUAGCUUUGGAUUGUGGAGAAUGGGAUGUUCACUUACAAGGCAGCCCCAGAACUGGACGGUCAUGGUGCCAUAUGGCUGUGCUAGAUGUCCAUAAUUGCUUUCUGAUGGAGGCAAAAGGAUGGCUCUUUCCACCAGCCAUGCUCCGAAGAGUGCAGGAGUGCCCACUUCUCCAUACAUAACCUGCUAGAAAGGCCUGAAACAAAUGUUUUUGCUUCCAGAGGGAGUGCAGCUGCCUUUUCACAUCUUCUGUACAGUUUAUUCCGUUAUCAGAGCUCCUUCCUCCAUCCUUUCCGGCAACUUUCAGACUGAUGAAAUAAGCCAAAUGGGUCCGUAUUCCCUCUAAAUAAUACAAACAAUAUUCAAGCAAGUUUAUUGCUGCCACAGAUGAAAAUAUGAUAUUUAUGUCCCCCUGAAUUCCAGGCCCUACUUUAUGAUCCCAGCUCUUCCAAAGAGGGUCACAAAUCUACACCAAAUCCCCAGGCUUAGGGUUUUGCAUUCAGAUCCUCUAAGAUAUCUAAAAUUACAUGAAGAUGGACUGCUCCCUAUUGGCCAUCCAUAUGCAGAGGCACAGAAACAUGCAUUAUUCCAACAUUACUGCUAAAUGAAUUGCCAUCUGCUUUCAAGCAACAGAAGAGGAGACAGUUCUAUGACCAGCACGGCCAACCACAAAACUUGUCAUGGUUUGGACCCAUUCAACUCACAGACAUACCAAAAGCACAGCUGCUUCUUGGAAAUGGAUGCAAAUAAUUCAUUCUCUAUUGGUGAACGAAGCCAGGUUGGUACCCAGGGUAAGCCAGGUUGCUUAGGAGAUUUUCAGUCCUUUUGGGGAGCUGCAAUGAGAACAACUCUGGGCAUAUGGCAUUUGCAAGGUCCUCUCUCUUCCCAGAAGAGAUGGUUAUUACAGAGGAUGUGGAAAUGUUCAUGAAGGCUGAACAGAUGACAGCUAUUUCUUUUCAACAAAGACCCUGAAGCAUUUUGGGGGAGAAAAGGGUGGAAAGGUGGGAUGGCUUAGUACGCAGGGAUGGAGUUGACCUCAGGGAUAUUCAAAUCCAUUUCACUGCAGUCACUAAAAGCAAAGUGUCCUCAGGUGAGAUACCACCCUGCACCUACCCCCAAAUACUUUCAUUGCCUUCCCCCUAAUUACUGGCCCAGUGCUUGCUACUGGCUGCCAUUAAAGCAUCCUCAGUGUACACCAAGCCAGAGAUUUAAGGAAAAAUUGAACUACCUGAACCAGCCAGAAAGCUCUUUGUUUUAAAAGAAUCACAGAAUGGCCUGGGUUGAAAAGGACCACAGUGAUCAUCUCGUUUCAACCCCCUUCCACAGGCAGGGUCACCAACCAGCAGACCAGGCUGCCCAGAGCCACAUCCAGCCUGGAAAAGAAACAGUGAAGUCUCUACCCUCACAUUACUCCAACUUCACGUUUUGCUGCUUUUCCUUUACUACUUCUGGGUAUUUCCACAUUUUUAUAACUGAAGUGAGUUCUCCCUCCUUCUGUUUACAUCUGUGAGCUGUAAAACCCCUUCAGUAGGUGUGACUUCCCCUUCCCCCGCUCCCGUCUUGCUUGUACAGGACAGAUAUCCCCAUAAGGACCAAUGCCAUCAGGAGUGCCUCAUGCAGGUGGGUGUCUCCAGCUGAAUGAGCCCUGCGGCAGCCCCACAGCACAUGCAUGGUGGUGGUGGUGGUGUUGGGGUAGGGACACAGAGAUGGUGAGCACAGCUGAGCCCAGCAAAGGGAACUGCUGCAACAGAAAGGCAUCAGGGCUUGAGACGGUGCUUUAGCUGCAAUGAGAUGCUGGUGCUGCACCUUGGGGACCUUCAGUGGGCUCAGCACUUCACUCUCCCCAGGAUGGACAGGAGGGCACACUGCUACCUCUGCCAUGGGAUGACCAGAGAGGGCUUUUGGUGGCAGAGAGAAGGGGGGAGCAGCGUUUGGGCAGCAAUUGUUCUUGGGGGGCAAGAGAGCAGCACGUAACAGCGAGUGGGCAUUGAGGUGAGCCCUGGGCAGUCAGAUGGGACCCAUAACACUGGGCUGAGAGGCCAAACAGCUCCACAUGGCUCCAAUGUCCUCACAUCCUCCAUCAAGCCUUGCUAACGGGAAUAAAAGCAUCCACCAUCAGCACUGUGUCUCCAGCACAGAGCCUCUGCAGGAGGGCAUCAAAUGAGACACUGCUCAUCCCAGCGCCCAUCACGGGGAUGGGACACCCACCAGCUUACCCAGCACCAAACCCCUGCUUCCAAUAGAAGCCUCUAAAAACAAGCUCUAUGUCUCUUUGAUGCUGAGCAUCUCCCACUGUGUGCGGCUGCAUCCGCCCAUGCUGGGAGCACCCCUCGCCCCACUGUUCCAUCCCACCACCAUGGGGUUGUGAGGCACCAACCACAGCUCUGCAGUGGAUCCGCAGCGCUCCCAGCAAUGCGAGGAGGCGGCUGUUACCGGGAGUAAAGUGUGGGCAGUGACUCUGUGGGCUUUUUCUCUACUGAAACUGUAAUUAAUACGGAUCCCAGGUACUAAGAGCAGGGAGAAAUACAGCUUCACAGCAGUUAAGACGCAUCUCAUUAGUGCCGAAACCACUGCGUCGUCAGAAUGCAUGAUGUGCAGCAAGGAAAAAUCGUGUAAUUGAAUUCCCACCAAAGCACCGCUCAUCUGCAGCAAAUGGCACUGCCCUCAUCUGGAGCUCAUCUCGGCUUCCUGCAAAUGGGGAGUCACUGGGAUUCCACGCAUUACAGCACAGAGCAGUGGGGCAGUGUUCCCAGAGCUCAGCAUGGUGAAUGGGGACCCCAGGGUGCCUCUCACUGGGGACCUCUGCAAGGGCCGCAGUGUCUGUGCUGGCCACAGCCAUAGGAAUGCACCCCAUGGGCCAGGCACAUCGGCCCAUUCUUUUUCUCAGUGCAGGAAAUGUGGUUAAAAACAUGCCAACCACUCACAUAAUGCCCUUACCUGCAUAAAUCCUUUGGCACUAAUUAAUAAAUCAUGGGCGCCAUGGCUGUUUCAUUAUUCCAGGCUGGAUUGCUACCAGUGGCAGUGAUGGCAUAAGUCAUUCCGUGUGCACAGCUGACAAGCGUGCUGCCAGCAGCACAAACACACGGGGCAAUAAGCUGCAGCGCUGCACACGGCGGGUUCUUCCCUCACCUGCUGAAGGGCAGGAGCAACCCUGCAUCCCAGCGUGCUGUCCAUGGGAACACCAGAUCCUUUUGCUCUCAAAGCCCAGCUCCGUCCCUCCCCAGGUGCUCUGGGCCCCCAAGCAGCUCCUGGGGCAGACAGAAAGACACAGGGCUGCUUCACCACCAGGCCACCAUUGCACACAGACUUCCCUACCAGCAGCUGCGUGAAAUGACAACGAAGCCAAACGCUUUUCUGAAGAAUUAGAAACAACAAACAAACAAAAAACCAAUAAUGCAAAAGUCAGAUUUCAUC